UGGGGAAUUUUGGACAAUGGGCGAAAGCCUGAUCCAGCAAUGCCGCGUGUGUGAAGAAGGCCUUCGGGUUGUAAAGCACUUUUGUCCGGAAAGAAAUCCUUGGCUCUAAUACAGUCGGGGGAUGACGGUACCGGAAGAAUAAGCACCGGCUAACUACGUGCCAGCAGCCGCGGUAAUACGUAGGGUGCAAGCGUUAAUCGGAAUUACUGGGCGUAAAGCGUGCGCAGGCGGUUUGCUAAGACCGAUGUGAAAUCCCCGGGCUCAACCUGGGAACUGCAUUGGUGACUGGCAGGCUAGAGUAUGGCAGAGGGGGGUAGAAUUCCACGUGUAGCAGUGAAAUGCGUAGAGAUGUGGAGGAAUACCGAUGGCGAAGGCAGCCCCCUGGGCCAAUACUGACGCUCAUGCACGAAAGCGUGGGGAGCAAACAGGAUUAGAUACCCUGGUAGUCCACGCCCUAAACGAUGUCAACUAGUUGUUGGGGACUCAUUUCCUUAGUAACGUAGCUAACGCGUGAAGUUGACCGCCUGGGGAGUACGGUCGCAAGAUUAAAACUUAAAGGAAUUGACGGGGUCAUA
This 575-nucleotide ribosomal RNA is filed under the name uncultured bacterium. RNAcentral's name for it is "partial 16S ribosomal RNA". It matches the Rfam family "Bacterial small subunit ribosomal RNA", at positions 355 to 923 of the family's 1533-position model. The record is from RNAcentral.